CCUACGGGAGGCAGCAGUGAGGAAUAUUGGUCAAUGGGCGCGAGCCUGAACCAGCCAAGUAGCGUGAAGGAUGACUGCCCUACGGGUUGUAAACUUCUUUUAUGCAGGAAUAAAGUGAGGCACGUGUGCCUUUUUGUAGUUACUUUAUGAAUAAGGAUCGGCUAAUUCCGUGCCAGCAGCCGCGGUAAUACGGAGGAUCCGGGCGUUAUCCGGAUUUAUUGGUUUUAAAGGGAGCGUAGAUGGGUCCUUACGUCAGUUGUGAAAGUUUGCGGCUCAACCGUAAAAUUGCAAUUGAUACUGGGAGUCUUGAGUACAGUGGAGGUAGGCGGAAUUCGUGGUGUAGCGGUGAAAUGCUUAGAUAUCACGAAGAACUCCGAUUGCGAAGGCAGCUUACUAAAGCGUUACUGACAUUGAUGCUCGAAAGUGUGGGUAUCAAACAGGAUUAGAUACCCUUGUAGUC
Molecule: ribosomal RNA, 460 nt
Filed under: uncultured bacterium
Lineage: Bacteria
Description: partial 16S ribosomal RNA
Rfam family: Bacterial small subunit ribosomal RNA
Source: RNAcentral